Molecule: ribosomal RNA, 492 nt
Filed under: uncultured bacterium
Lineage: Bacteria
Description: partial 16S ribosomal RNA
Rfam family: Bacterial small subunit ribosomal RNA
Source: RNAcentral
AGUGAACGCUGGCGGUAGGCCUAACACAUGCAAGUCGAACGGCAGCACAGUAAGAGCUUGCUCUUACGGGUGGCGAGUGGCGGACGGGUGAGGAAUACAUCGGAAUCUACUUUUUCGUGGGGGAUAACGUAGGGAAACUUACGCUAAUACCGCAUACGACCUACGGGUGAAAGCAGGGGAUCUUCGGACCUUGCGCGAUUGAAUGAGCCGAUGUCGGAUUAGCUAGUUGGCGGGGUAAAGGCCCACCAAGGCGACGAUCCGUAGCUGGUCUGAGAGGAUGAUCAGCCACAGUGGAACUGAGACACGGUCCAGACUCCUACGGGAGGCAGCAGUGGGGAAUAUUGGACAAUGGGCGCAAGCCUGAUCCAGCCAUACCGCGUGGGUGAAGAAGGCCUUCGGGUUGUAAAGCCCUUUUGUUGGGAAAGAAAAGAAGCAGGUUAAUACCCCGCUGUUCUGACGGUACCCAAAGAAUAAGCACCGGCUAACUUCGUG